CCCUUAGAUGUUCUGGGCCGCACGCGUGCUACACUGAGUGGAUCAGCGGGUCAGGUUGCGCGAAAGUGUUUCCUAAUCUUGAAAUCCGCUCGUGAUGGGGAUUGACGGUUGCAAUUUUCCGUCAUGAACGAGGAAUACCUUGUAAGCGCGGGUCAUCAUCCCGCGCUGCAUACGUCCCUGCCCUUUGUACACACCGCCCGUCGCUCCUACCGAUUGAGUGGUCCGGUGAGGCUUUGGGAUCUGAGCGGAAAGAGCGUUUCGCUGUUUCUGCUCGGAAAACUCAGUCGAACCUUAUCAUUUAGAGGAAGGAGAAGUCGUAACA
RNAcentral lists this ribosomal RNA (322 nucleotides) under uncultured eukaryote. Its description in RNAcentral is "partial 18S ribosomal RNA". It matches the Rfam family "Eukaryotic small subunit ribosomal RNA", at positions 1470 to 1796 of the family's 1831-position model. The record is from RNAcentral.